RNAcentral lists this ribosomal RNA (459 nucleotides) under uncultured bacterium. RNAcentral's name for it is "partial 16S ribosomal RNA". It matches the Rfam family "Bacterial small subunit ribosomal RNA", at positions 338 to 795 of the family's 1533-position model. The record is from RNAcentral.
CCUACGGGUGGCAGCAGUGAGGAAUAUUGGUCAAUGGGCGCGAGCCUGAACCAGCCAAGUCGCGUGAGGGAAGACGGUCCUAUGGAUUGUAAACCUCUUUUGUCGGGGAGCAAAAGACGCCACGCGUGGCGUUCCGAGAGUACCCGAAGAAAAAGCAUCGGCUAACUCCGUGACAGCAGCCGCGGUAAUACGGAGGAUGCGAGCGUUAUCCGGAUUUAGUGGGGUUAAAGGGUGGGCAGGCGGAAGAUCAAGUCAGCGGUAAAAUUGAGAGGCUCAACCUCUUCGAGCCGUUGAAACUGGUUUUCUUGAGUGAGUGAGAAGUAUGCGGAAGGCGUGGUGUAGCGGUGAAAUGCAUAGAUAUCACGCAGAACUCCGAUUGCGAAGGCAGCAUACCGGCGCUCAACUGACGCUCAUGCACGAAAGUGUGGGUAUCGAACAGGAUUAGAUACCCCUGUAGUC